UACGGAAGGCAGCAGUGGGGAAUAUUGCACAAUGGGCGAAAGCCUGAUGCAGCUAUGCCGCGUGUAUGAAGAAGGCCUUAGGGUUGUAAAGUACUUUCAUCGGGGAGGAAAAACAAAACUAAUAAUUUUAUUUCUUGACGUUACCCGAAAAAGAAGCACCGGCUAACUCCGUGCCAGCAGCCGCGGUAAUACGGAGGGUGCUAGCGUUAAUCAGAAUUACUGGGCGUAAAGAGCACGUAGGUGGUUUUUUUAAGUUCAGAUGUGAAAUCCCUGGGCUUAACCUAGGAACUGCAUUUUGAAACUGAAAUACUAGAGUAUCGUAGAGGGAGGUAGAAUUCUAGGUGUAGCGGUGAAAUGCGUAGAUAUCUGGAGGAAUACCUGUGGCGAAAGCGGCCUCCUAAACGAAUACUGACACUGAGGGUGCGAAAGCGUGGGGA
This 437-nucleotide ribosomal RNA is filed under the name uncultured bacterium. RNAcentral's name for it is "bacterial SSU rRNA". It matches the Rfam family "Bacterial small subunit ribosomal RNA", at positions 340 to 767 of the family's 1533-position model. The record is from RNAcentral.